Molecule: ribosomal RNA, 261 nt
Filed under: uncultured archaeon
Lineage: Archaea
Description: partial 16S ribosomal RNA
Rfam family: Archaeal small subunit ribosomal RNA
Source: RNAcentral
CAGCCGUAAACAAUGUGCGUUAGGUGUGUCGGUAACCACGCGUUACUGAUGCGCCGAAGAGAAAUCGUGAAACGCACCACCUGGGAAGUACGGUCGCAAGGCUGAAACUUAAAGGAAUUGGCGGGGGAGCACCACAACAGGUGGAGCCUGCGGUUUAAUUGGAUUCAACGCCGGACAUCUCACCGGAUAGGACAGCUGAAUGAUUGUCAAUCUGAAGGUUUUACAUGACUAGCUGAGAGGAGGUGCAUGGCGUCAGUGACU